RNAcentral lists this ribosomal RNA (496 nucleotides) under uncultured bacterium. Its description in RNAcentral is "partial 16S ribosomal RNA". It matches the Rfam family "Bacterial small subunit ribosomal RNA", at positions 28 to 506 of the family's 1533-position model. The record is from RNAcentral.
GAUGAACGCUGGCGGCGUGCCUAAUACAUGCAAGUCGAGCGAACAGACGAGGAGCUUGCUCCUCUGACGUUAGCGGCGGACGGGUGAGUAACACGUGGAUAACCUACCUAUAAGACUGGGAUAACUUCGGGAAACCGGAGCUAAUACCGGAUAAUAUAUUGAACCGCAUGGUUCAAUAGUGAAAGACGGUUUUGCUGUCACUUAUAGAUGGAUCCGCGCCGCAUUAGCUAGUUGGUAAGGUAACGGCUUACCAAGGCAACGAUGCGUAGCCGACCUGAGAGGGGGAUCGGCCACACUGGAACUGAGACACGGUCCAGACUCCUACGGGAGGCAGCAGUAGGGAAUCUUCCGCAAUGGGCGAAAGCUUGACGGAGCAACGCCGCGUGAGUGAUGAAGGUCUUCGGAUCGUAAAACUAUGUUAUUAGGGAAGAACAAAUGUGUAAGUAACUAUGCACGUCUUGACGGUACCUAAUCAGAAAGCCACGGCUAACUACGU